UGUCAAAUUUUCAGAAUUUUCCUUUUUUUUAAUAAAUUCCAAAGUCAAACUUCAAUCACAUGUUGAGAGAGGUUGCCGACAAAACCUCAAUCUCUUUUCCUGCAGUGAAAGCUCCAUCUCUCUUCCCUGAAAACGUCCAAAACCCUACACGCUCAAACCAGCUUAUCUGGUCAAACGUCAGAAAACUUCCACCUUUCCAGUUUCCUCAAACAGUUUCUCAUUCAAAAUUCAAAUUCAUUAUUUCCCCAAACCAGAUCUGCAAAACAAUUUCCAUAACCCAGAGAGAGACGAGACGACCGUUUAUUUGUUGUAUUCACACAUUCAUUCUUCACAUUUUCAUCUUCUCUUUGAAACCCUGAUGGAAACGCCCUUGAUUCAGCCAAUCGAUCUUCAUCUAUAAGUGUUUUGCUUUCGUUCAAUAAAUAUCCUCAAUCCUUCACCAAAUCAAACAUUCUGAGACACUUUUCACAAACCCUAAAUACCUACACCAUACAUUUGUGUCUUCUUCGAUUCACUUGCUUUUUAUUCGAUUCAUCAUUCAGUGAUUUGAGGGUUUUGCUAUCCCUCUUCAAUCUGUUGCCGCCAGAAGGAGCUAUUUCAUUUAAAGAUGGAAUGUAAAUUGAGCUUCAAAACUAAGAAUUGCAAUUUUACAUAAGCUCAAAAUGCUCCGGAGGUCGCCCACAGUCGAGGAAUAAGAGGUUGAAGAAAAAUACACUUACAUAUAGAUAGCACAUGUGAAGAAUCUUUUAAUCCGCAAAAGUGUUAUUGUAUUCUUUUAAACUGUUCUUUACUUAUUUUCCUAAUAAGAAGAUGAUGAUAAUUGAAAAAAUCUAGAGUAGUUUUAGUGUGCCUUAAUGAUGAUAGUUGGAAUGGAGUGAACCAUUUAUUUU
This is a long non-coding RNA of Helianthus annuus (common sunflower), 890 nucleotides long. RefSeq lists it as uncharacterized. The record is from RefSeq and is a predicted model, not a curated record. Lineage: Eukaryota; Viridiplantae; Streptophyta; Magnoliopsida; Asterales; Asteraceae. The transcript has 3 exons.